This 464-nucleotide ribosomal RNA is filed under the name uncultured bacterium. RNAcentral's name for it is "partial 16S ribosomal RNA". The record is from RNAcentral.
GACUACCGGGGUAUCUAAUCCCGUUUGCUCCCCUGGCUUUCGCACCUCAGCGUCAGUAACGGCCCAGAGAGCUGCCUUCGCCUUUGGUGUUCCUCUUGAUAUCUACGCAUUUCACCGCUCCACCAAGAGUUCCGCUCUCCUCUACCGCACUCCAGCACGUCAGUAUGCAAAGCUGUUCCACGGGUAAGCCGUGGGCUUUCACCCCGCACUUGACGCGCCGCCUACGUGCGCUUUAUGCCCAGUAAUUCCGAACAACGUUAGCACCCUCUGUAUUACCGCGGCUGCUGGCACAGAGUUAGCCGGUGCUUCCUCCAGGGCUUACGUCACUCGUCAGGCUGUUCGCCAGACGCUCUUCAUAACCCUCGACAGGAGUUUACAACCCUAAGGCCUUCGUCCUCCACGCGGCGUCGCUCCGUCAGGCUUGCGCCCAUUGCGGAAGAUUCUCGACUGCAGCCCCCCGUAGG